This 251-nucleotide long non-coding RNA is filed under the name Lathyrus oleraceus (garden pea). Its description in RNAcentral is "Pisum sativum (pea) long non-coding RNA (PSAT_LNC002290)". The record is from RNAcentral. Lineage: Eukaryota; Viridiplantae; Streptophyta; Magnoliopsida; Fabales; Fabaceae.
UCUAUUUCAUUAUAAAAAUAUAAAAGUCUUUUAUUCUUCAUGAUGGCUUGGAAAAUCUCAUAGACUAACCUCUCAUACAUCUCUUACUAAGUACACUUCACCUUAUGGAUUAAUCUAUAUUGACUUACGGGGCCCCUGCACCCUUUACAUAUACUAAUGGUUUUCCUUUAUUUUUAUCUUUGUCGUUAUUUAAUAUUUAUUUCGCAUGUUUAAGUCUGCUGGUGCACGAAGUGAUAAAGAUGAACAAAACA